Non-coding RNA from Dermatophagoides pteronyssinus (European house dust mite), 84 nucleotides. NCBI's taxonomy places the organism in Eukaryota, Metazoa, Arthropoda, Arachnida, Sarcoptiformes, Pyroglyphidae. The record is from the annotation of a RefSeq genome assembly.
GUCAGGAUGGCCGAGCGGUCUAAGGCGCUGGUCUCAAGUACCAGUCAACAUUUGUUGGCGUGGGUUCGAAUCCCACUCCUGACA